AAAAUCGCGUCAGUCUGAACCGCGUCUCAUUGAUCAAGCAGAAGACGAUGUCGUGGGCAGACUCACAUAAUAAACAAAAUCAACUGUGGCCAGAGGAUCUGCCAAAUAUACACAUCCAACAACCAGUUCCUCAGUCAACCACAAUCUUCCAGCAGUUGCCAAACACAGUGACGUCACCUUUAUCACCAGUGCGCGCAGGGCACAUUAGAGAGGAUCUGGUGGAAUUAAUGAUGAUCCAGAAUGCACAGAUGCAUCAGGUCAUUAUGAAUAAUAUGACCAUGUCUGUACUCAACAAGUUUGACUACACAAAUACACCAGAGGUAAUGUGUUCACAGACACAAACAUGCCUGUAAGCACACAC
Molecule: long non-coding RNA, 361 nt
Organism: Paramisgurnus dabryanus
Lineage: Eukaryota; Metazoa; Chordata; Actinopteri; Cypriniformes; Cobitidae
Source: RefSeq, a predicted model, not a curated record